UACGGGGGGGGCAAGCGUUGUUCGGAAUUACUGGGCGUAAAGGGCUCGCAGGCGGCCAACUAAGUCAGACGUGAAAUCCCUCGGCUUAACCGGGGAACUGCGUCUGAUACUGGAUGGCUUGAAUCCGGGAGAGGGAUGCGGAAUUCCAGGUGUAGCGGUGAAAUGCGUAGAUAUCUGGAGGAACACCGGUGGCGAAGGCGGCAUCCUGGACCGGCAUUGACGCUGAGGAGCGAAAGCGUGGGGAGCGAUCCGG
This 253-nucleotide ribosomal RNA is filed under the name uncultured bacterium. Its description in RNAcentral is "partial 16S ribosomal RNA". It matches the Rfam family "Bacterial small subunit ribosomal RNA", at positions 524 to 776 of the family's 1533-position model. The record is from RNAcentral.